GGGAAACACGUGCAGACUGGAAAAAUCGCAUUAGAUUGAGACGCCUACGAAAGAUAAGAUUACAAAGAGAUAAAAUACUAUUAUUUCCUUUUUACCUAGCCAUUGUAUCAAUUCUUGUUCCACCAAUAUGCAAUCACCUCCAAGUACUGCAAUUCUACAAAGUGUCCAUUAACCACCCCGCAGGAUUGCAAAUAGGUGCGAUGUGUGACAAUUACGAAGAUUUUCUAUCCGGCGCAUGCAAACGUUGCUGUAGGAAAGAUUUCUCAAAUUGUGCUGUAGCAGGCUUUGAUGCUGAACACUACUUUCCUCACAAAGGUGAACCUAGGAAAGAGAGAAAGUAUUACUAUGAAAUAGGACUUGUUUGCCCUUAUAAUGAGAAUUACGAGUUUAGUAUUUUAAAAGAUUGCUAAACGAAUGGAAAAUAUUAUUUUGCAUAUAUUAUCAGCUUUGCAGUUUUAGAUGCAACACAUCAAAAUCAGUCACUGGUCUUUUAUAUUUUGAGAUAUGAAAUUUCUAAUUUACCCUCUUCUGACUUAACGAAUAGGAUGACAUGUUCUACGAAGAAGAAAAUAGGAGGAAAAAACGCUGUAGAGGAUGUAUAAACUACAUAAUAUACAAUGAAUUAAAAAGUAUCUACAAAAAAAACGACACACUUUGAAGAAUUCGUACUUGACGUAAUGUGCACUGAAUUUAAAAAAAGACACGCCUUCUCAAAAGAGCUUGUAAUCUACAUAAUGUAUAAUAAAUUGAAAGAAAAAAAACGACUCACUCCAAAAAACUAGUGUUCUCAAUCAUAAAAUAAUUAAAACAAAUUACACACGUUAAGGAACUUGUAAUUUACAUAAUGAGUUUUUAAAAAACAGCAUGCUUCUAAGAACUUGAGAUCUAAAUAUACUAUUAAUUGAAUAAAAAUAAUAAUAAAGCAACGCGCAUUAAGGAACUUGUAAUAAACAAAGAUUCACGCUUCAAAGAUCUACAGAAUAUGUAAUAAAUUUUUAAAAAAAAGACGCAAUUCAUAGAACUUGUGUACUAAACAAUAACAAUGAAUUGAGAAAUAAUAAUAAAUAGUACACAUUUUAAAGAAAUUGUGACAUACAUAAUAUAAUAUAAAUUUGAAAAUAACAACAGACUUCUAAGAACUUGUGUUCUAGUUUUAAAUAUUGAAUUGAAAAAUAAUAAUUAAAAAAACUACAUACUUUAAAGAACUUGUCCUAUGUAUAAUAUAGUAUGAUUUAAAAAGACACAGAAUUCUAAGAACUAGUGAUAUAGAUAUGCAAUGAAUUGAAGAACAAUAAUAAAAAACCAACACGUUUUAAAGAACUUGUGAUAUACAUAAUAUGCAGCGAUUAGAAAGAAGGAAAAAAACAGACCUGCCUCUUUGAAAGAAUUUGUGAUAUACAUAACAGACAAUGAAUAAGAAAACCUGAAAUGCUUCAAAGAACUUAUUUAAAUACACAAUGAACUGGAAAAAAAAUGAACGACACGAUAAAAAGAAAUGGCGAUAUAUAUAAUAUACAAUGAAUUAAAAAAAGAAAAUAUUUUUCAAGGAACUUUAGAUCUAACUAUUAAAUUUUCAUCAAUGUUUUUGCAACUUUACUCAGAAAAGUUCUCGAUACAUGAUUUUCCGCAAAAAAGUAGAAUCUAUUUUCGAAUUCGACAUCCUCAGUGAUUUAGAUAAAUAGCUUAUAAAAAAUAGUAACUGUUUUUAGUUGUUCAAUUUCUUGAAGUGAUUGUAAAUCUCACAUUACAAUAUAGCAUUAAAAUUUUUAUGAAUUGU
Molecule: non-coding RNA, 1777 nt
Organism: Parasteatoda tepidariorum (common house spider)
Lineage: Eukaryota; Metazoa; Arthropoda; Arachnida; Araneae; Theridiidae
Source: RefSeq, a predicted model, not a curated record